RNAcentral lists this ribosomal RNA (421 nucleotides) under uncultured bacterium. Its description in RNAcentral is "partial 16S ribosomal RNA". It matches the Rfam family "Bacterial small subunit ribosomal RNA", at positions 361 to 774 of the family's 1533-position model. The record is from RNAcentral.
AUUUUGCACAAUGGGGGCAACCCUGAUCCAGCCAUCCCGCGUGUGUGAUGAAGGCNCUNNGGUUGNANAGCACUUUUGAGAGGNNNNNAAUGACAUGAGAUAAUAACUUCUGUAGAUGACGGGACAUGUAGAAUAAGCACCGGCUCAUUACGUGCAAGCAGCCGCGGUAAUACGUAGGUUGCUAGCGUUAAUCGGAAUUACUGGGCGUAAAGGGUACGCAGGCGGCUAGGAAAGAAAGAUGUGAAAUCCCAGGGCUCAACCUUGGAACUGCAUUUUUAACUACCUGGCUAGAGUAUGUCAGAGGGGGGUAGAAUUCCACGUGUAGCAGUGAAAUGCGUAGAGAUGUGGAGGAAUACCGAUGGCGAAGGCAGCCCCCUGGGAUAAUACUGACGCUCAGGUACGAAAGCGUGGGGAGCAAACA